This 1233-nucleotide ribosomal RNA is filed under the name metagenome. Its description in RNAcentral is "bacterial SSU rRNA". It matches the Rfam family "Bacterial small subunit ribosomal RNA", at positions 267 to 1498 of the family's 1533-position model. The record is from RNAcentral.
ACCAAGGCGACGAUCAGUAGCUGGUCUGAGAGGACGACCAGCCACACUGGAACUGAGACACGGUCCAGACUCCUACGGGAGGCAGCAGUGGGGAAUUUUGGACAAUGGGCGCAAGCCUGAUCCAGCAAUGCCGCGUGAGUGAAGAAGGCCUUCGGGUUGUAAAGCUCUGUUGUCAGGGAAGAAACGGUGGACUCUAAUACAGAUCACUAAUGACGGUACCUGAAGAAUAAGCACCGGCUAACUACGUGCCAGCAGCCGCGGUAAUACGUAGGGUGCAAGCGUUAAUCGGAAUUACUGGGCGUAAAGCGUGCGCAGGCGGUUGUGCAAGACAGAUGUGAAAUCCCCGGGCUCAACCUGGGAAUUGCAUUUGUGACUGCACGGCUAGAGUGUGUCAGAGGGGGGUAGAAUUCCACGUGUAGCAGUGAAAUGCGUAGAGAUGUGGAGGAAUACCGAUGGCGAAGGCAGCCCCCUGGGAUAACACUGACGCUCAUGCACGAAAGCGUGGGGAGCAAACAGGAUUAGAUACCCUGGUAGUCCACGCCCUAAACGAUGUCUACUAGUUGUCGGGUCUUAAUUGACUUGGUAACGCAGCUAACGCGUGAAGUAGACCGCCUGGGGAGUACGGUCGCAAGAUUAAAACUCAAAGGAAUUGACGGGGACCCGCACAAGCGGUGGAUGAUGUGGAUUAAUUCGAUGCAACGCGAAAAACCUUACCUACCCUUGACAUGUCUGGAAUCCUUGAGAGAUCAGGGAGUGCUCGAAAGAGAAUCAGAACACAGGUGCUGCAUGGCUGUCGUCAGCUCGUGUCGUGAGAUGUUGGGUUAAGUCCCGCAACGAGCGCAACCCUUGUCAUUAGUUGCUACGAAAGGGCACUCUAAUGAGACUGCCGGUGACAAACCGGAGGAAGGUGGGGAUGACGUCAAGUCCUCAUGGCCCUUAUGGGUAGGGCUUCACACGUCAUACAAUGGUACAUACAGAGGGCCGCCAACCCGCGAGGGGGAGCUAAUCCCAGAAAGUGUAUCGUAGUCCGGAUUGUAGUCUGCAACUCGACUACAUGAAGUUGGAAUCGCUAGUAAUCGCGGAUCAGCAUGUCGCGGUGAAUACGUUCCCGGGUCUUGUACACACCGCCCGUCACACCAUGGGAGCGGGUUUCACCAGAAGUGGGUAGCCUAACCGCAAGGAGGGCGCUCACCACGGUGGGAUUCGUGACUGGGGUGAAGUCGUAACAAGGUA